RNAcentral lists this ribosomal RNA (1403 nucleotides) under metagenome. Its description in RNAcentral is "bacterial LSU rRNA". It matches the Rfam family "Bacterial large subunit ribosomal RNA", at positions 1537 to 2925 of the family's 2925-position model. The record is from RNAcentral.
AAAAUCCGCAACACACAUAGGCUGAGACGUGAUGCCGAGCCGAUUCAGGUGAAGUCAGUGAUCCUAUGCUGCCGAGAAAAGCCUCUAGCGAGUUCUUAGCGGCCCGUACCCCAAACCGACACAGGUGGUCAGGUAGAGAAUACCGAGGCGAUCGGGCGAACCGUGGUUAAGGAACUCGGCAAAUUGCCCCCGUAACUUAGGGAGAAGGGGGGCCGGAGACGUGAAGCCCCGCGCGGGUGGAGCGUUGUAUGGCCGCAGAGAGCAGGGGGAAGCGACUGUUUACUAAAAACACAGGUCCAUGCGAAGAAGUAAUUCGAUGUAUAUGGACUGACGCCUGCCCGGUGCUGGAACGUUAAGGGGACCUGUUAGCUCUUCGGGGCGAAGCGGAGAACUUAAGCGCCAGUAAACGGCGGUGGUAACUAUAACCAUCCUAAGGUAGCGAAAUUCCUUGUCGGGUAAGUUCCGACCUGCACGUAUGGCGUAACGACUUCCCCACUGUCUCAACCACAGGCCCGGCGAAAUUGCAGUACGAGUAAAGAUGCUCGUUACGCGCGGCAGGACGGAAAGACCCCGGGACCUUUACUAUAGCUUGACAUUGGUACUCGAAUUAGCUUGUGUAGGAUAGGUGGGAGCCGGUGAAGUCCAUACGCCAGUAUGGGUGGAGGCAAUCUUGAAAUACCACUCUGGUUGAUUUGGGUAUCUAACUUCGGACCGUUAUCCGGUUCAGGGACAGUGUCUGGUGGGUAGUUUAACUGGGGCGGUUGCCUCCUAAAAGGUAACGGAGGCGCCCAAAGGUUCCCUCAGCCUGGUUGGCAAUCAGGUGUUGAGUGCAAGUACACAAGGGAGCUUGACUGUGAGACUGACAGGUCGAGCAGGGACGAAAGUCGGGACUAGUGAUCCGGCACUUGCGAGUGGAAGCGGUGUCGCUCAACGGAUAAAAGGUACCCCGGGGAUAACAGGCUGAUCUUCCCCAAGAGUCCAUAUCGACGGGAUGGUUUGGCACCUCGAUGUCGGCUCGUCGCAUCCUGGGGCUGUAGCAGGUCCCAAGGGUUGGGCUGUUCGCCCAUUAAAGCGGUACGCGAGCUGGGUUUAGAACGUCGAGAGACAGUUCGGUCCCUAUCCGCCGUGCGCGUAGGAUACUUGAGAAGGGCUGUCCCUAGUACGAGAGGACCGGGACGGACGAACCUCUGGUGUGCCAGUUGUCCCGCCAGGGGCACGGCUGGUUAGCUACGUUCGGAAGGGAUAACCGCUGAAAGCAUCUAAGCGGGAAGCCUGCUUCAAGAUGAGGUAUCCCACCCACUUUGUGGGGUAAGCCCCCCAGCUAGACGACUGGGUUGAUAGGCCGGAAAUGUAAGCCCGGUAACGGGUUCAGUUGACCGGUACUAAUAGGCCGAGGACUCGAA